This 445-nucleotide unclassified non-coding RNA is filed under the name Hevea brasiliensis (rubber tree). Lineage: Eukaryota; Viridiplantae; Streptophyta; Magnoliopsida; Malpighiales; Euphorbiaceae. The record is from RNAcentral.
GAACAAUUGAAGUCUAGUUUAUGGCUUCUGCUCGACCCGCAGGAUAUCGAGGUCUUGAAAUAUUACCAGCUCUCCAUCCUACGGAUGCACCCUAAUGUUUGGAGAUUACUCUCGGCUUUUCGAGCGUUGUGCUGAAGAAAGAGGGUGCAUGCAUCCACUCGGAUCUUCUCUUGCUUCUUCCAAUUAAAUACUUGGAAGAUCGAGGAGUAUUGAGAUUUCAUGCCUGGAAGGGGAUGAGGCUUUUCGCCAACCUUCCGUUGUCUUUGAAAAAGUGGAAAGAUAGGUUUCUCUUUAUCGAAGAUACGGUGGACGAACAGUGGGGCGACAUCUGAACAAGUUGGAACUAUCUAGUCGACAAGAGGGCGGGAAAGUUGAGACUUAAUGCCAAAGAAAAGGCUGUAGUGAAGGAGCUUAAAGCUAUUAUUCGGCAAGACAAGAUAUCGAU